UGCUCUCGAUCUUCCUUCUCUCUCCCUUCGCUCUCGAUCUCCGACAACGCUGUUCUUCCCUCUCGACUUCUCCUCUCUCCACCGUAUUCCAUUGACGUUGGUGUGGGGGUGAUUGACGCCGAUCGGGUCUUGUGUUCAACUAGUCGACGAUAUCAGAUCUUGGAUUGACGGUUGUGAGUUAGAGUUUUAGAGACAAAUGAAGUGCUUGAAGAGUUCCCCUCCUUCUUGGCUCUUAUAUCAUUGCAGCUGAAAACCAUAAUCCAGGAAAAG
Molecule: non-coding RNA, 270 nt
Organism: Arachis ipaensis
Lineage: Eukaryota; Viridiplantae; Streptophyta; Magnoliopsida; Fabales; Fabaceae
Source: RefSeq, a predicted model, not a curated record